This 408-nucleotide ribosomal RNA is filed under the name uncultured bacterium. Its description in RNAcentral is "partial 16S ribosomal RNA". It matches the Rfam family "Bacterial small subunit ribosomal RNA", at positions 30 to 526 of the family's 1533-position model. The record is from RNAcentral.
AUUGAACGCUGGCGGCGUGCCUAAUACAUGCAAGUCGAACGGAGUGGCGCACGGGUGAGUAAUGUAUAGCUAAUCUGCCCUACACUAGAGGACAACAGUUGGAAAAGACUGCUGAUACUCUAUAGUGAAGGAUGAGGCUAUAUUGUAUCAGCUAGUUUGUGAGUUAAUGGCUCACCAAGGCUAUGACUCAUAACUGGUCUGAGAGGAUGCUCAGUCGCACUGGAACUGAGACACGGUCCAGACUCCUCCGGGAGGCAGCAGUAGGGAAUAUUGCUCAAUGUGGGUAACCCUGAAGCAGCAACGCCGCGUGGAGGAUGACACUUUUCGGAGCGUAAACUCCUUUUAUUAGGGAAGCGGUACCUAACGAAUAAGCACCGGCUAACUCCGUGCCAGCAGCCGCGGUAAUUC